UGACAUGAAAACUACACAGCAUAUAACUGUGGGGAAAGGAUGUGUUUAAAGCUAAAGAAUAGGCCACUGUAAUCUUUACAUUUGUUGCAAUUUGAAGACCAAGAAGACUGAUAAUUAUCUUUUUUUUUUCUCUAGAGGAGUGAUAAAAAGAAGAAAAAUCCAACUUCAUUAUAUUGUAGAGUUAAGAAACCAUGCCAGUCACUGUGCCUCCCAACAGAGAUCAAAGAAAUCCUCUACGAAACCCUUUGGUUUACAGAAGUCUUUCAAUCAGUCUAUCAAUGUUCCGGAUUACUAUCCAAGUAGCCAUUCCAAAUUUUGCUGGAUAUAUAAGAUCGUCUCCUGCGCCAUAGAUUAACAGUGUGGCUUCUUCCUGUUUACAAAGAUGGGAAAGUGGAAAAGUGGUGAUUAUUAUUUGGAGAGCCCAAAAAGUACAUUGUUAUUAUACCAAUAAAAGGAGACCAUAUGUCCACAUUCAUUUUUGGCUACUUCACAAAACAGAAACAGAGGGCAGAUAUAAAGAAGUCUUGAAGAGAAAAACACCGAUGGCCAAAUUCUCCCUCAUUCCACACAAACAUGUGCAUGUACAUGCAGGUACAUAUCCCUUCCAGCCAAGAUAAAAUGGCGAUGUCACAUACAUCAUUGACAAGUUCACUGAAUUCCACUGUCAGAAAUUUUACUUUGACAAAAAAUGUUUUGCAAAUUGUUUCUCAGGACUUGUGAAGUCAUAGUGCUGGCUGAUGAGGUCCUAAAUGUUAGAUUAUCAAAGGAAAGUGGCAUGGAAUGAGAAGAUAGAAUGGUUCUACACUUCUUCUGGAAACAAAGGAAAACCCCUCGAAGGACCUGGCAACGCAUUAAUAAAUAUCAUUUUACACA
This is a long non-coding RNA of Monodelphis domestica (gray short-tailed opossum), 873 nucleotides long. RefSeq lists it as uncharacterized. NCBI's taxonomy places the organism in Eukaryota, Metazoa, Chordata, Mammalia, Didelphimorphia, Didelphidae. The record is from RefSeq and is a predicted model, not a curated record.